RNAcentral lists this ribosomal RNA (253 nucleotides) under uncultured bacterium. RNAcentral's name for it is "partial 16S ribosomal RNA". It matches the Rfam family "Bacterial small subunit ribosomal RNA", at positions 524 to 776 of the family's 1533-position model. The record is from RNAcentral.
UACGUAGGGAGCAAGCGUUGUCCGGAAUCAUUGGGCGUAAAGCGCGCGUAGGUGGCUUCGUAAGUCCGUUGUGAAAGUCAAAGGCUCAACCUUUGAAAGCCGAUGGAUACUGCGGAGCUAGAGUACGGAAGAGGCGAGUGGAAUUCCUGGUGUAGCGGUGGAAUGCGCAGAUAUCAGGAGGAACACCAAUAGCGAAGGCAGCUCGCUGGGACGUUACUGACACUGAGGCGCAAAAGCGUGGGGAGCGAACAGG